Molecule: RNA transcript, 1078 nt
Organism: Xiphophorus maculatus (southern platyfish)
Lineage: Eukaryota; Metazoa; Chordata; Actinopteri; Cyprinodontiformes; Poeciliidae
Gene: cystm1
Gene name: cysteine rich transmembrane module containing 1
Exons: 6
Source: RefSeq, a predicted model, not a curated record
CUUGGGCCUCACCCUGUCCUCGUGUCUCUGACCGUCUCCUCAGUCGGUCAGCAUCUGGUCAGGACAGCAGAGCCGUUCCUCUUCAGAUCCAUCCAUCCAUCCAUCAUCCAUCCAUCAUCCAUCCAUCCAUCAUCCAUCCAUCAUCAUGAGUGAUCAUCCUCCUCCGUAUCGUCCGUUCUUCCCUGACGAUUCGUCUCCCUCCAUGUUUCCUCCAGCUUUUUACUCACCGCCCACUGCCUUCCCCGGCUCCGCCUAUCAGACUUUCCCUCAGACCAUCGUCCAACCAGGACCCUCUGCACAGCAGGGGGCCUCGGUGAUGUCACCUGGUUACUAUGGCAACAAACACCAGGCCUCCCAUCCGGCGAAGCCCACAGUUCUGCUGAUGGAUCCUCGGACCAAUCAGCAGCCGGGCGGUAUCGGGUCGUACCUGGCCGCGUGUUCUGCUGCUCUGUGCUGCUGCUGCCUGUAUGACCUGCUGCACCGCUGACCAUCAUCACCUUCAUCAUCAUCCUCAGCAGUGACCAUGUGACCGUCCGGUCUGCUGACACCAGGAAUGUCCGACAUGUUUGGGUUUAAAACGACGUUAUUGUCAUUAAAGGUUCAGAGGAAAAUCCUGCUGUCUGAUUGGACAGCGAGCAGAAACAAACAUGGAGGAUGAUGACAUCAUCUGAAAGCGUUUUCUAACCACUCUCUGCUGGUGUCUCUUUGAUGAUUGACUAUUGAUCUUAUAUCAGAUUGGUCACAGCUGAUCUAUAAAGUGAUUGAUAGCAGAGCAUCGAGUCCUGCAGCAUCACUCCCCCUGGAUCAGCAGAGGGCGACAGUGGAGAGGAAAACUUCCUCUGGCUCAGUACCAGUGGUCACCUGCCAGUAGAAGCUAUGAUGUACAGGAUAGUGACAGUCCUCGGCUGCAGAUCUAAGCAGAUUGAUUGUUUACUUUCCUAGAACUACUCAAUGCCCCAAUGAUACACCCCUUCUUAUAGGAACAAACAUCCCAUAUUUGGGAUAGGGGUGUUCCUAUAAGAAGUAUACAAUGAAAUAAAAAGAUUUUCAUCCAUCCAUUUUCUAACACCCUUGUCCC